Molecule: long non-coding RNA, 592 nt
Filed under: Anas platyrhynchos platyrhynchos (common mallard)
Lineage: Eukaryota; Metazoa; Chordata; Aves; Anseriformes; Anatidae
Description: lncRNA (ENSAPLG00000022805.1)
Source: RNAcentral
AUAAUAUUCUUGCAUUUUGCUCAUUUGAUGUCAUAAUGACAAAUUAUACUGAAGAUAUGAAAACAAUGAGGGUGUGCCUACAUUAGCACUUUAGUUUGGCUCAGAAGGACAACCCUGAAGAGCACAUCAUCAUAACCCCCAUUUGCUUAUUUUGAUUCACGUCACAGAGCAGUCACAGAGAGCACACACUGUGUUCCCCUUAGAUGAAACUAAACCAGAAGGUUUGCUCUGGCUGUUAAUGAGCAUCCAGAUCAGGGACCAGGCAAGAGCUAGCUGGAAACAACUCCCCAGCACAACAUACACACUUUGUACAGUGGAUCCUCAGUACCAUUUCUCUGUUCAUCAGCACCUGUUGGGCUAAUAUCAAGUUCCAAGACCGACCAGGAACCAAUCUCCAAUACACAAAUUCACCUGGGACCCACUGCAUCGACCACUACUUCUGUCUGCCAUGGCAGAGCAUUUUUCCUAUGAGAGCAUUGACCCCAAAGUACUGUUAUGGAUUUCAUAAUUCCUGUUCUUCACAAUGAGUGCCAUCAGUAAGUCAGUCAAACUCAUGAAUAAAUACUUAUUAAUAAAAGUAUUGAACUAACCA